AUUGAACGCUGGCGGCAGGCCUAACACAUGCAAGUCGAGCGGAUGAAGGGAGCUUGCUCCUGGAUUCAGCGGCGGACGGGUGAGUAAUGCCUAGGAAUCUGCCUGGUAGUGGGGGAUAACGUCCGGAAACGGGCGCUAAUACCGCAUACGUCCUGAGGGAGAAAGAGGGGGAUCCUCGGACCUCAUGCUAUCAGAUGAGCCUAGGUCGGAUUAGCUAGUUGGUGGGGUAAAGGCCUACCAAGGCGACGAUCCGUAACUGGUCUGAGAGGAUGAUCACUCACACUGAAACUAAGACACGGUCCAUAAUCCUACGGGAGGAGACAGUUGGGAAUAUUGGACAAUGGGCGAAAGCCUGAUCCAGCCAUGCCACUUGUGUGAAGAAGGACUCCGGAUUGUAAAGCACUUUAAGUUGGGAGAAAGUGCAGUAAGUUAAUACCUUGCUGUUUUGACGUUACCAACAGAAUAAGCACCGGCUAACUUCGUG
RNAcentral lists this ribosomal RNA (484 nucleotides) under uncultured bacterium. RNAcentral's name for it is "partial 16S ribosomal RNA". It matches the Rfam family "Bacterial small subunit ribosomal RNA", at positions 30 to 507 of the family's 1533-position model. The record is from RNAcentral.